Molecule: RNA transcript, 1607 nt
Organism: Lampris incognitus (smalleye Pacific opah)
Lineage: Eukaryota; Metazoa; Chordata; Actinopteri; Lampriformes; Lampridae
Gene name: zinc finger protein 37-like
Exons: 3
Source: RefSeq, a predicted model, not a curated record
GAUAAAAACACCGCUUGUUAACGACGUGAGACCCAGCACGAUUUUUGUUUUCCCACCAGAAUGAACAACGCCACACUUCAGUCAUUCCAAGUCUUUCUCACGGAGCGAUUGACUGCAGCUGCUUUUGAGAUAUUUGGAUUUGUGGAAAAAAUAAUAAUAGAUUACGAAGAGGAGGUUCAUCGGAAGGAGGAGAACCGAAGGCAGCAGAGGCUUCCGCGUUUGGUGUACCAACCAGAGAUAUUGCGCAGGGCGGGUCUGUGUUCCGCUUAACUUAAACAGUAUUUUAUUAUAUAGCGUUUUAGCGACCGACCCUGUCAGACGACGUGAUGCGAUACGGCCGCUACUCCGAGUCAUAAUCACGUGUGUUGGUGUAGCGUGGUUCUCUGCGUUGUGUGGUUUGUUGGUGUGAUUGACGACGCUGCGACGACCAGUCUCCAAGCAUCCAGCCGCCUCUGAAUCAGCUGAGGUGAUUUUCACUAAGCAGCAGGAGCACCAUCCACAGGAGUGGAGCCCCAGCGUGGACCAUGAGGACACGGGAACCUCAAGGAUUAAAGAGGAGGAGGACAAGGAGGCACGAUUGACCAGUUCAAUUGAGGAGCAGCCAUCAGCCAAAGAUAACGAUGAGGACUUCAAGCAUCCAAAGGCAUCUGAAUCAGCCGAGGGGAUUUCCACUAAGCAGCAGGAGCACAAUCAACAGGAGUGGAGUCCCAGCGUGGACUAUGAGGAAAUGGAAACAUCAAAUAUUAAAGAGGAGGAGUACAAGGAGGCACUCUUGACUAGUUCAAGUGGAGAGCAGCCCUCAGCCAAAAAUACUGAUGAGGGUGAUGCUUUAACAGAAGUUUUUUUCAGAACAGGGCAACAGUUGGAGAACAACGUGCCGACUAAAGGAAACAGUAAGCCGAAGCAAUCCUUCAUAAAGGGUUCUUACUGCUCUGAUACUGAAAAGAGGACCAUCAACCAUUGCUGCCAUAUUUGCAACAAAGUUUUCAAUAAAAAACUUGUGCUUGAUUGGCACCUCAAGACUCAUGGAAUAUACAGAGAAAAAUUUGACUGUAAGAUAUGUGGUCAACAUAAUCACUGCCAGAGUCAGCUGCAAAACCACAUGAGAGUCCAUACCGGGGAAAGACCUUAUCCUUGCCAGUACUGUAAGAAAUGUUUUAAAUUAAAGGGAGAUCUGACAAAUCAUAUAAGGAUCCACACAGGGGAGAUGCCUUUCAGCUGCUACGUCUGUCAGCGAUCCUUCAAAAGAAGUUCAAGUAUGAAGAGACAUGUUUCUUUAAUACACAAAGGAGUCAUUACAAAUGUGUAGAUUGUGAUGAAGGCAAGGGUUUUGGUGAAAAGGUACAUGGACAAAAUCUGUGACAUCCAACUGUCAAGCUGAAAGGAUGCCCCUCCAUUGCCCCUGAUGGCUACAUGAGGCUCUGAUAGGACAGUGCUGUCCAGACUGGACACAAGACAGAAGGGAAAUGGAAAGGCAGAUCAACAGCAAAAGCCACCCGUUAAUUUUCAGUUUCAGAAAAUGUGACUCACCAUGAAACCGCAUACGGUGGAAGAGGUUUAGUUUUGAGGAUUGUACUGCCAUACAUUCUGAAAUUGUGAACAAAUAA